Molecule: ribosomal RNA, 117 nt
Filed under: uncultured bacterium
Lineage: Bacteria
Description: partial 16S ribosomal RNA
Rfam family: Bacterial small subunit ribosomal RNA
Source: RNAcentral
UACGUUCCCGGGGCUUGUACACACCGCCCGUCACGUCACGAAAGUCGGUAACACCCGAAGCCGGUGGCCCAACCCUUGUGGAGGGAGCCGUCGAAGGUGGGACUGGCGAUUGGGACG